Molecule: transfer RNA, 71 nt
Organism: Trametes pubescens
Lineage: Eukaryota; Fungi; Basidiomycota; Agaricomycetes; Polyporales; Polyporaceae
Rfam family: tRNA
About the family: Transfer RNA (tRNA) molecules are approximately 80 nucleotides in length. Their secondary structure includes four short double-helical elements and three loops (D, anti-codon, and T loops). Further hydrogen bonds mediate the characteristic L-shaped molecular structure. tRNAs have two regions of fundamental functional importance: the anti-codon, which is responsible for specific mRNA codon recognition, and the 3' end, to which the tRNAs corresponding amino acid is attached (by aminoacyl-tRNA synthetases). tRNAs cope with the degeneracy of the genetic code in two manners: having more than one tRNA (with a specific anti-codon) for a particular amino acid; and 'wobble' base-pairing, i.e. permitting non-standard base-pairing at the 3rd anti-codon position.
Source: Rfam
GCAUUCGUGGUGUAGCGGUAACAUUGGGUCUUCCCAUGGCCUAGCUCCGGGUUCGACUCCCGGCGGAUGCA